This 72-nucleotide transfer RNA is filed under the name Marmota monax (woodchuck). RNAcentral's name for it is "tRNA.Ala". Lineage: Eukaryota; Metazoa; Chordata; Mammalia; Rodentia; Sciuridae. The record is from RNAcentral.
UAUGGUGUAACUCAGUGGUAAGGGAGCAUGCUUAGCAUGUUUGAGGCCCUGAGUUCAAUCCCCAACACCUAC